RNAcentral lists this ribosomal RNA (253 nucleotides) under uncultured bacterium. RNAcentral describes it as "partial 16S ribosomal RNA". It matches the Rfam family "Bacterial small subunit ribosomal RNA", at positions 524 to 776 of the family's 1533-position model. The record is from RNAcentral.
GACAGAGGGUGCAAACGUUGUUCGGAAUUACUGGGCGUAAAGCGCGUGUAGGCUGCUUCGCAAGUCGGAUGUGAAAGCCCUGGGCUCAACCCAGGAAGUGCAUUCGAAACUGCAGAGCUGGAGUCCUGGAGAGGAAGGCGGAAUUCUCGGUGUAGAGGUGAAAUUCGUAGAUAUCAGGAGGAAUACCGAUGGCGAAGGCAGGUCUCUGGGCUGACACUGACGCUCAUGCACGAAAGCGUGGGGAGCAAACAGG